CCCUAGGGAUCUCAGGUGCAAGCAAUGCAGUUGAAUGCACUCAGAAGGGGGUGCAGACAGGAUCCACUCCUUCCCAGACCUCAUAAUGUGUUGGCAGUGGAGGUGAAGGAAUUCUGCUGGAGAUCCCUGCAUAAUUGAGGCUUUUCAAAAGUAAACAGCAUCUUCCCUUUACUUCUGUGCUUGUAGCUGCUGCUUUUGAGUAAAUUUUCACUUACUAUAGCCUAGGAUCUUGCUGCUCUGCUGUCAUUACUGUGUUUUCCAUUAUGUCACGUACAGAGCUGGUAAACUCUAUUGUCUUAAUAGAAAAAGAAUGCUGGCAUUUGGAGUUUUCAUCCUAAUUUGAGACAGAACUGGGUGUAAAAUAGCUAGGGUUUUUCAUAAAACAAAAAUUACAUUUUUCAGGCAGUUCUAUACAGACUCAUUAGAAAACACAGGCCAUCUCCCUUCAGUAAGAUUAUUCCAGAUACCAUUAGUAAUUUUUUUUUCUAGUCUGAAUAGAUUUUCGUAACCUGUUUUUGAAUGCUGCAAGUGCGAUUAUUUGAUUUCUUUCAACUGGGAUAUAAAGAUACAUUCAUGGGAUAUAAACCUAAUAAAGGAGAAAAAACAAAAACAUUAAUAUGAAAGAUUACCUGUGAAAAGAUAUCUGAUCUGAAGGGAAAUUUCUUUAUGACACAAAACAUAAGCAUCUCCAAACACACCCCUCACUAAAAUAGACUUUGGUUCUGGAAUACAUUGAAUCUGUUUUAUUCCUUUUUGCCAUAGCACUUAGCUCAAGAAAUGCUGCAUCAAACCUAACCAAAACACAAAAUUACCAAGCGGUAAAUAUAUUGAGCCACCUCAGCUUUCCAUCUCUCUUCCAUUAGGUAGAACACCCCAAAGUUCUGUAUUUAGUUCAAAUAUUUAACUGUAGUUCACGUGCUCUAUCUUCAUUAGAUGCUUACUAGUUUCUAAUACACAGAUGAGAGUUCUCUUUCCCUGAAGAUAUUUCAGAAAGAAGGUUCCUGAACCACCAGUUUGAGUAGUCCUAGAGAAGGCCUGACUAGGCUAUUAGCUAAAUUAUUCUUUCUGCUUCUGCUUUGUUUUUAAAUAUUAUGUUAAAUAAGGCUGAAUUACUAACAAGCGCUUUCCUUUAAGACUAGUGUGUGUGGCCAGGGAAAAACUCAUAGUAAAACCUAGAGAAAAGCUGUUUCUGCUUACGAGGACCCCCAGCCCCACACACCCACUCUUUGUCUGAACCAUCAGCAGUACCUGGUGUUGGUGGAAGCUUCUAGAGGCUGUGCUGCUGGGGAUGAGGCUCAGGGGAGAGGAGCAUGAGGAAGGCUGCUGAUCCAACAGAAUUCUGGGUCCCAUAGCUUAUAUUCCAUGGACAAUUUUGCAUAAAAGAAAAAGACAUAGCAUGCACCAAAAAAACUGUUUCCCCAUGCUUCAGUGGUUACCUUCUUGACUGCAGACUAUUCCCAAGGACCAUGUGAAAGGUGAUGUGCCCUACCAGUGACACCUGCAGAGCUGACCUGCACACACACAAACCACAGGCCUUCUUUCAAGGAGCUGCCAACCCUUGUGGUCUUCUCAGAACUGCGUUCAAAAUAACUUACCAUGGACAAGCCACGGUUAUUAAGUUAUACCUCUCAUCAUAGCAGAUGGUCUUUGAUGGGCUUCUACUGUAAUACGAGUAACCAAAUUAAAACUUCCCAGCACAACACAGACAGACUACAAGCAAAAGCUUUGGAGUAACUAAGUGGUGCCCAGUGAGGAAUCAGAGGACAUGGAACCAGCCUUCUCUCGGAGGCGUAUGGUGAAAGUCACAAGUUGGAACAAGGAAAAUUCCUGCUGGAUUUGAGGGAGUGGCUGAGCAGAAACAAGUCCAACAGGUUGCCCAAACCGUGUCAUCUCCAUCCUUUGGAUCCACAGCUUGAAUGACAGCAACCACGGCUGGGGGCUGGAGCUACACAGCCUUUAAGGUCCUUUCCAACCCAAGCCAUUCUAUGGUUGGAACCUGAUCCACGUCCUGGCCUCGAGGAGGAGACCUCCAGUGCUCAUCUCCAAUCUAACUCACUGCAUGACUCCAUGAAGCAAUGUGACAGUGCUCAGCAUGCGCCAGUGCUUCCAGAAGAUGAAUAAAGCAGAUUUACAAGGACUACUCAUCGUCUUGAAGUCAUUUCUCAAUUUUCCCAGCCUCACCAUCUCACUAAAAGUGAAGUGAUUUCAUAGCAUCUGGGCAGAUGAGCUGAGCACACUAACAUCCUGGCUAAAUUUUCAUCUAGCUACAAGAUAACCAGGCACAUAUAAACUACAUAGUUGAUCUUGUGAUUAAUUGUUAGCUUGCCUAGACACUUGCCUAGACACAUCAGAGCACACCACCUUGCUUAACUGCCCAGCAAUCUCAGUAAGCAGACUGCCAUCCCAUAUGAGACAAAAGUGCAGCCCUGCAGCAGGAGCUCCUGACUCAUGGGGGAGACUGAAAUGACAGCGUGGAAAUAAACAAAGCUCAGCUCAACACAAAGUGAAGCUGUCAACUAUUACAAUGACUCCUGCCCAAACAGAUUUAGAUGAAGUGUGUAAAAUGCCAGCUGGCGGUUGUGCUCUAAACUGAGCUCCCUUCAAACUUCCUCACAUGCUAACCGCUCCCCAAGCACUCCAGGAGCAGGCCUGGCUGCCUCCUCCCACAGGGCUUCAGCUAUGCUCUGCCAGGUCCAAAGCAAACAAAACCAUCACCACUAAGAGCAGGGGAGAGCAGGCAGCUGGAAGUGCUGGUGACCACUGGGAGCCGUAAUAAAGUGCCUCAGAGAAACAGCUCUGGGCUGAAGCUGAGUGACACAGGCUGUAGUAAACGUUUCCUUAGCCAUACUGACUCACCUGAACAGGCAUCAGACCUUGCUUAAUACAGUCAGCUUUUCUUCAGUGCUCCAUUACAAGUAGCGGAAAAGCAAGUCUAUUCUUCAGGUGGCAGGCACAGAUGAUUCAGUCCUGUUUAUUUUCUCAUGAUUCAGAGGGAUUUCUAUUUCUGGUCACUCACAUAACAACAAACUCAAGUUGGUAUACGCUGCAAGGGAUAACUCUCUGUUAUGUAAAAUGAAGUUUCCUCCAAACACACCUUGUUACUAAGUGUUUCAGCCCUCUCUAUGUCUGGACUUGACAAACAGAAGAACUGCCUAAGGCAAUACUUUUCAGAGUAAAAUUCAGACAGAAAACUUGAGCUUUCUUAGAGGCCUAUGCUAAGAAAUGCAGCUCCCGUAUACAGCCAUUCCUCCCUCCAGAGCUUCACGUGUCACAAAGGUCCAAACUCUGCAGCACUGGGACUGGAGGUCCAGGGGUCAGUGUCCUUCACCACCUUCUAGUUUGUGUAUCUCAAGAGUGGAAAUAUCGUUUACAGCUGUCAUUUCAGUAAUUACGUGGUACUGAGCACUAACCCAAGAUGGAGAAUCUCAAUAUUAUCUACAGUAGUUAUACUACAAUGAAGAAUUCCCAGCUAUGAGUAAUGCUAAAUUACAUCAGUAACAGCACCCCAUCAGCACAUCUUAGAAUUGCAUAACCACAGUCCUACAUUAUCAGGUAAGAAAACUUCCUGAGAUUACAAGGAAAAAAAGGCAACACUUC
Molecule: non-coding RNA, 3597 nt
Organism: Meleagris gallopavo (turkey)
Lineage: Eukaryota; Metazoa; Chordata; Aves; Galliformes; Phasianidae
Source: RefSeq, a predicted model, not a curated record